CCCUUAGAUGUCCGGGGCCGCACGCGCGCUACACUGAAGGAAUCAGCGUGGCUUUCUCCCUGACCCGAAAGGGUUGGGAAACCCGUUGAAUCUCCUUCGUGAUAGGGAUUGGGGCUUGAAAUUGUUCCCCAUGAACGAGGAAUUCCCAGUAAGCGCGAGUUAUAAGCUCGCGUUGAUUACGUCCCUGCCCUUUGUACACACCGCCCGUCGCUACUACCGAUUGAACGGUUUAGUGAGGGCCUCGGAUUGGUCUCGGCCCGCUCUUUACCGGGCGGCGCCGUUGGUCGAGAAGACGCUCGAACUUGAUCGUUUAGAGGAAGUAAAAGUCGUAACA
Molecule: ribosomal RNA, 334 nt
Filed under: uncultured eukaryote
Lineage: Eukaryota
Description: partial 18S ribosomal RNA
Rfam family: Eukaryotic small subunit ribosomal RNA
Source: RNAcentral